GCAGAGCAGAGCCAUGGAUGGCUGCCUAGCCUCCGGCCUGAUUCGGCGCCUCCACGACCUCCCAAUCCAAACCCUCGCGCCCAAGCCUCCCCCACCGCCUCCUCAACCUUCCCCGCUACUUACCAGAGCUCCUUCCUAGUCGAAUCCACCGAAAUCAGUUGCCCUGCCGCCGGCCGCCAAUGGAGCACCAUCGAGCUCCGCCCCUUCACGUCGAUCCGCGCCUCCGGCCCUUCUCCGCCCAAAUCAACCCCCAAAAUGAGUUCGUGAACUCGUAGCUGAAGACGCCGUCUACAGAGUGGUCGUGAAGCCCAGGAGCUAGCGAAGUAGGUGCAAGAAGAAAUUCAUGAAGACCCGGCCCAAAGCCGCAAAUAAUACUAACCCCGCUCAGCAAAAAGGCAAGCCCCGCAGCAUAACCCUUAAUUUUGGUAUUCAAUGUUUAUUAUAUAAUUAUUAUGCAUUUCCGUUUC
Panicum virgatum (switchgrass) is the source of this 467-nucleotide long non-coding RNA. RefSeq lists it as uncharacterized. The transcript has 2 exons. The record is from RefSeq and is a predicted model, not a curated record. Lineage: Eukaryota; Viridiplantae; Streptophyta; Magnoliopsida; Poales; Poaceae.